CCCUUAGAUGUCCUGGGCCGCACGCGCGCUACACUGAGUGUCUGAGAUACGAGUCUGCCUGGUCCGGCAAGGUCUAGGUAAUCGCUAAAAGACACAUCAUGCUUGGGAUAGAUUAUUGCAAAUAUUAAUCUUGAACGAGGAAUUCCUAGUAAGCGCAAGUCAACAGCCCGCGUUGAUUACGUCCCUGCCCUUUGUACACACCGCCCGUCGCUACUACUGAUUGGAUGUUUAAGCGAGGUUCUCGAACUGCUAGCGACUUAGCUUCGGUGAGGUCGCAGUGUGGGAAGUGAACCUAGCUUUGGUGUCUAGAGGAAGUAAAAGUCGUAACA
Molecule: ribosomal RNA, 329 nt
Filed under: uncultured eukaryote
Lineage: Eukaryota
Description: partial 18S ribosomal RNA
Rfam family: Eukaryotic small subunit ribosomal RNA
Source: RNAcentral